UGGGUGGCGCUUAAAUCUGACAAUUAUUUGAUCACAUGAUCUACUGGCUAUAUGUGGCGUGACUAAGGUUAUUUCCUUGUGAGAGCUACUUUUACGGGCGGCACGGCGGUCGAGUGGUUAGCGCACAGACCUCACAGCUAGGAGACCAGGGUUCAAUUCCACCCUCGGCCAUCUCUGUGUGGAGUUUGCAUGUUCUCCCCGUGCAUGCGUGGGUUUUCUCCGGGUACUCCGGUUUCCUCCCACAUUCCAAAAACAUGCUAGGUUAAUUAGCGACUCCAAAUUGUCCAUAGGUAUGAAUGUGAGUGUGAAUGGUUGUUUGUCUAUAUGUGCCCUGUGAUUGGCUGGCCACCAGAAGACAGCUGGGAUAGGCUCCACCAUCCCCUGCGACCCUUGUGAGGAAAAGCGGUAGAAAAUGAAUGAAUGAGCUACUUUUACCAAAUGAAAAUGACCAGUGACAGAUGCACGAUCGUGCUCCUUGUCUUAUUAUAAAGUGUUUUAUGAAACAAAUUCAAGAUUUUUAUACCCUUUUUAGUUAGGGUGGAGUGCUUCCUCCGGGUUGGGGAUGAGAUCCUGCCCCAGGAGUUCAAGGAUCUCGGGGUAUUGUUCACGGGUGAGGGAAGGUGGGAGCGUGUGGUGAAAAGAGAGCUUACCCAGAAGGCAAAGUGGGAGGAGCUCAGAGUCGCGUCGCUUCUCCUUCACAUUGAGAGGAACCAGUUAAGGUGGCUCGGGCGUCUCAUCCGGAUGCCUCCCUGGUGAGGUGUUCCGGCAUGCCCAGCCGGGAAAACGCCCCCGGGGCAUUCCUAGGACACGCUGGAGAUAUUUUGUCUCACAGCUGGCCUGGGAACGCCUUGAUGUCCUCCCCUUGGAGCUGGAGAAGGUGGCCGGGGAUCGGGAAAUCUGGGCUUCCAUACUGAGACUGCUGCCCCCGUGACCUGGAGGAAAAAUGUAGGAAUGGUUUAAGAUCGCAAGUCUGAGCAAUUAAUGUGGACCGACGGCUCCGACGUGGAUUUUGAGGCCUUUAACAACGAUGACGAUGAUGGAAGUUGUGUGGAGAUUGAAAACUCUGAUCUACUCUGGGAUAAAGACGAUUGCUCGAAUAUCAACGAAUAUGUCUGUG
This is a non-coding RNA of Doryrhamphus excisus (bluestripe pipefish), 1117 nucleotides long. The record is from RefSeq and is a predicted model, not a curated record. Lineage: Eukaryota; Metazoa; Chordata; Actinopteri; Syngnathiformes; Syngnathidae.